Molecule: long non-coding RNA, 1302 nt
Filed under: Homo sapiens (human)
Lineage: Eukaryota; Metazoa; Chordata; Mammalia; Primates; Hominidae
Description: HSALNT0194594
Source: RNAcentral
CAUUGGAACCACCCUUAUUCCAUCCUGGGCCCUGGGCCAUGCACCCCACCAGCGUUUUCUCCUCGGGACCCCAACAGGGCAGGACCUGUGGGUUCGCAGGUGAAGCCCUGAGGCUCCAAAAGGAGGCCGAAGCUGCUCCACAUCACAGCCUGGAUGUGGAAUUUGAAGGCUGGGAUUUGAACCCAAGUCUUCUGGGAGGCAGCCCAUUCCAAGCACUUUAAUAAAUGAACUCAACUCUCACCCACACUCCAAGCUGCCACCAUAAACCCUGGACGCCCCUGGGGAGAGGGAGCAGCUGCCGGGAAACCUCCCGGGCCCUGGAGCCGUCACCAAAUCCCUGCUGCUAUUUCUGAGCAGCCAAAGGAAUCCUGAAAUUAAAACCUUCUGAAAAAAAUGGCAAUUCCCCGUCCCACUCCAGACAGAUGAAGAUACUUCUCCCAAAAUAGAUGAAGAACCAAGGAGGAAACAGCGCAGAGCUGGACACAGCUCAAGACUUCCCACAAGAGACCUGAUUCCUGCCCAGCUCUGCCCCACCCAAGCCCCUGUCUGGUCCUCACCUGCCCGACUAUAAAAUAAAGGGCUGGGAUCCUCAACUUUAGUACAUCAGAAUCACCUGCAGAGCUGAAACAGCACUCAGGGGUCCCAGGUGAUGCUGAUGUCCUCUGAACCUUAGAAGUUUCCCUAAAGUCACUUUCAGCUCACACAUCCCCACUCUUUAAGGUUUGACACUCCAACUACUGGCUGUGUGAUGUUGGAUGAGUCACUUGACCCCUCUGAGUCUCCAUUCUUCUCAUCUGUAUAAUGGAGAGAAAGAAUGAUCACCUCCUCUUGAAGGUUGUGAGGAAAAAAUCAAAUAACAUUAGUAGUUCAUAGCAACUUUGUAAUAUCCCAAAACUGGAAACCAUCCAAAUGUCCAUUAGCAGGUGAAUGGAUAAAGAAAUUGUGGUACAUCCAUAUGACAGAAUGCUACCUAGCGAUGAAAAAGAGUGAGAUAUUGAUACUACAAAAACAUGAAUACAUCUCAAAACAUGUAUGCAGAGUGAAAGAAGCCAGGCGGAAAAGACAACACACAUUGUAUGUUUCCACUUGUAGAAAAUUCCAGAAAAAUUAAAACCAUUCAUAGUGACAGAAAGCAAAUCAAUAGUUGCCUGGUCAUUAGCGGAGGGAGGAAGGAUGAGAAGGAAGAGUAAGGAAGGAUUAUGAAGGGGUACCAGGGAACUUCUGGAGGUGAUGGAAUGUUCAUUAUUUUGAUCGUGAUGACCGUUCUGGUGUAAACACAUGUCAAAAAUCAUCAAAAUGUAC